Wasmannia auropunctata (little fire ant) is the source of this 3873-nucleotide RNA transcript. It is a transcript of the gene named dopamine receptor 2, with no coding region annotated. The record is from RefSeq and is a predicted model, not a curated record. Lineage: Eukaryota; Metazoa; Arthropoda; Insecta; Hymenoptera; Formicidae. The transcript is spliced from 4 exons.
GUGUCCAUGACUGUAUAGAUUUUACACGUUAUAUAUUCUUUAUGUUUUUCAAUCGAAUGUCAAUAUAAUUGGGCUUCAUAUACUAAAUAAAUAGGCUAAAACCCUGUCGCAACAAUGUACAAAUAUCCUUUAUUAUAUGCAUUCUACUCUAUUAGACUUUAUUAUCAUAUAAAAUUAAUAACAUGUUAAAUUUUAUUAACAUUGUUAACGAUCGAAAGUGUAAAAAAUGUGGCGCACAACAAAUGUAAUUAACUAAAGAGUGAAAAAGAUAUUGUAGUUGUUUAAAUAUGGAUACAAAGUCAAGGGCGACACAAUAUUCUUUCCGAUGAAAUUAUAUCAUGCGAGCGUGUGCAUGUACAAAAAUAUCCAAAUUGUAGGAUACGUCAAAGGAUAUAAAUUAUAAUUGUACAUGGUCUAUUGAAACAGAUUGGAGAAAAUAGCAUUCAAAUAAUUAUAAAAUUAUUAAAAGCUAAAAAAAUCGGCAUCCAUGACGUCAUACGUAAGGAAAAAUCUACGUCAUGUCUGUGUAUAUCCGUGACGCACGUGCAAGAAACAGGGUGCUUCGAGCAAAAGUUGAUAAGGGCGAAAGUGCGUAUGUGUGUGCGCGCGGGGAUGAUGCGGCUUGACGCGGCUCGAUGCGACGCGCAAGCGCGACGGGUGCAGAGCUUUCGAGCCACGCGAUGGUAGCAGUUGGCCUUCUAAAACCGCGAAACGCGUCCCGCGUUCUCUCGAGGAAGAGUAUCGCGCGAGGCUAUCUCUAACAAUAAGCCACACUUUCCCCCCCGGUUUAUCGUGUACGUGCGCGUUUAGAGUAUCACAAUUCGCCGUCGAGACGUCCCCGAUCCGCGUCUCUAUUGUGACCUUUCUUCAGUCAACCUUCUCGCGUUCGUUCUCAUUUGACACUGACAUCCGACACACGCGUGUAUCAAAUCACGGCAACAUACCCGUACUACACUGUAGUCGCCUGUGUGACUUAAACGUCGUGACGGCGUGCAUCAACUGAAUCGCGAUCGAAUGCUGGCGAUCAGGGAAAGACCCUGACCUUGAAAAGUUCACGUGCAAACGGGAUAUGUUAGAUUAGAGGACAAUUAACGCGUGUUAACCGGCGAUAAUGCGUUAAUGGAGAACAACCGCGAUACCCGCUCGUAUUUUCUUCAGCGGAAGACUGUACGAUCAGUUUAUAAUACACAAAUGGUACAUAACGAUAUUUGAAAGAACGAUAAUCCUAGCCGAAUGAAAAUACUGCUGAAGAAAAUAGGAAAAAUCUAAACUUUUGACAUAUUAUCUCUCGAUUAUACCUGUGUGAUGAUUGAGUUUUCUACUUUAUUACGUUCUUUAGUAUUACGGCUGAAAAAGACACGUACCAAAUGCCCUGUAAUCAGAUAGAUAAACAAGUUGAUAAAGUUUAAUUAAACUUUAUAAGACAUAAUCAAAUCAUAGAAUGACAACUUAGCAAGUAAAAUUCGACAGCAAUCUCAUUAAAAAUUGUAAUGAUUCGAAACAUCUUACAGUCAGUGAAACGAGAUGAGAGGACAGACGAAAAUGAAAAAUCUCGCAAAUGUAUACGCAAUGCCGAUGCCCUGACGUUUAGUCGCCUAGGGAAAAUUAAAAAGGUCAAGAGCGUCUUGGACAAUCACACGUCAGGGUGAUUACGGUUGAAAGACCGUCGUAGUAAUACGGCUGCGCACGGUAAAACAUGAAUGACAGCGAGAUUUAUCUAUUGAAUUGGGAAGAAGAGGUACACGCAUUAAACAACGAUCUUGGCAGGAGCUUUUAUAACGCGAGCUAUCCACCAUUUAAUCAUACCUAUGAGGAUCUCUGGGAACUUGCUUCAGAUCGAAUCGGUCUCGCGAUCGUUUUAUUGCUCUUCUCCGUAGCUACCGUUUUCGGCAACUCGUUAGUGAUCCUCGCGGUAUUUCGAGAGAGGCAUCUGCACACAGCUACAAACUACUUUGUGACUUCGUUGGCUUGCGCCGAUUGCCUGGUAGGACUGGUAGUGAUGCCAAUUAGCGCGAUAUACGAGGUAUUGGAGAACCGUUGGCUAUUCACGACGGACUGGUGCGAUGUUUGGCGCUCGCUCGAUGUUCUCUUCUCCACCGCAUCUAUUCUAAACUUGUGUGUUAUUAGUCUGGAUCGCUACUGGGCAAUUACCGAUCCCUUCACGUAUCCGACUCGAAUGAGUAGAAAACGCGCGGCUAUCCUAAUCGCCAUCGUAUGGAUUUGCUCGAGUGCGAUCUCCUUUCCUGCAAUAGCGUGGUGGCGUGCCGUUCGUACUGAGCAAGUGCCGAAAGACAAGUGUCCCUUUACGGAGAAUCUCGGUUACCUGAUAUUCUCGUCGACAAUCAGUUUUUACCUGCCGCUAUUUGUGAUGGUAUUCACGUAUUACAGAAUCUAUCGCGCCGCCGUAAUACAGACGAGGAGUCUAAAACUCGGCACAAAGCAGGUGAUGAUGGCCUCGGGCGAGCUCGAACUCACGCUGAGGAUACAUCGAGGCGGUGCCACCAACACCGACGCUAGACACCUUUUUCGCACCGCCUCGAGCACACCCGAAGAUCUCCAAGAUCUCGAGGAACCGUUAACGGCUCUUCACAACAAUGGUCUCACCAGAGUGCCCUCCGUGAGGAUCAACAAUAAACAACAUCUAGGCCAGACCAAAAAUUUCUCUCUCUCGCGUAAACUCGCCAAAUUCGCCAAGGAGAAAAAGGCGGCAAAGACCCUUGGUAUCGUUAUGGGUGUAUUUAUUAUUUGUUGGCUGCCGUUCUUCGUUGUGAAUCUAUGGUCGGGAUUCUGCACCAGGUGCAUAUGGCAGGAAGAAAUCGUAUCUGCGGCCGUCACUUGGCUCGGCUGGAUUAACAGUGGAAUGAAUCCCGUGAUAUACGCUUGCUGGAGCAGAGAUUUUCGUAGAAAACAAUACGUUUGGGAGAAUUUCUUAUUAAAUUAACGAGAAAACCUUUCUGGAGGAUGAUGUAAUUAAAAGUUUCUACAAGGAUACAGAGGAUGCGGAAUGCAAGAAUGAAAGAAGAAAGGAAAACAAGCAAUAUUCUAUUAGCUGGUGGACUGAGCAAAACUAGGUCACCAAUCUCGUAAACGUAAAGACAUUCCGAAUUCAGGAAUGACCGAUUUUCCGUUAUUGUUCCGCAAAUAAUCGUCCAUGUUUCGUUCUUCAAAUAAUAUAUGUACUUUCCCUUUUCUAUCUGACAUGUGAUACGGCCAGUAUAAAUUUGUAUGCAGUAGCAACAUUUUACAAGAAAUAAGAUAACUUAUAAUAUAUACAUUACAAUAAAAUUGGAAAUAAUUUCAUUUCGCUGUUAAUUACAUUGAUUCAUAAUUGUGAUUCAUAAUUGUGUAUUCUGAUAAGAUCACAAUUAAGAAGCAUUGCGCGUUUUAUUUAUUGCAUUGAACUUUAUUGUUGAAAAACCAAGAUAACUAUAGCGAUCAAUAGCUAUAAUAAAAAUCUAGGUCUUUCAUUAUUUUCAUUCAACAUAGACUAAAGUGCAAUUAGGAACGCAGACAUUAUAUUACGAGAUGCAACAGUGAACUCAACCCAUAAAAAGAGUGAAAAAAAUAAAAAUAUUUCAUAGCAAAGUGCUUUUGUAUGAUAGUAUAGAAGAGAUACAGUUUAGUUUGUCACUUUUUAUAGUUUGAAGCACUCCUUAUGUUAUACGUUUACUCUAUAACUCUUUAUAAAAUCAAUAAAUCAAUAAUAUCUAGUCCAUCAAAAUUGUACGUAUAUAAUCGAGAGUUAAACUAUGCAAUUUAUUUAGUUUUUUUUAAAAUAAAUACAGAUAAAUUCAUAUCGUUAUAUCUUGAAUGAGUUAAAAGUAUGCCAAGGUCUUGUUAAGUAAUUGACUUUUCCUUAACGAGUCCUUUUGU